This 260-nucleotide long non-coding RNA is filed under the name Ananas comosus (pineapple). Its description in RNAcentral is "long non-coding RNA (ACOM_LNC029341)". Lineage: Eukaryota; Viridiplantae; Streptophyta; Magnoliopsida; Poales; Bromeliaceae. The record is from RNAcentral.
UAGUGGGCUGGGUCGUUAUACCUUAUUACACCAAAAACUCUUUAUAUAAUAUGAACGUUUUUCAACCUUUUCGAUUAUGCACUAGAAUUUCAUGUGGUAGCUUCACAUACUUACCGGACGACCGGGGUGGUAGCUCUUUCAUACAUGUGGUGGUAGUUUUCACACUCCCUUUGUGUUGUAACUCUUUCCACAUCUUUUAAGCACUUGGAGUGUUUCUCCUUUUUCAUUCAUUUAUUUUUUAGGUAUAACUCCCCCUUAAU